Molecule: ribosomal RNA, 258 nt
Filed under: uncultured bacterium
Lineage: Bacteria
Description: partial 16S ribosomal RNA
Rfam family: Bacterial small subunit ribosomal RNA
Source: RNAcentral
UACGUAGGGGGCUAGCGUUGUCCGGAAUCAUUGGGCGUAAAGAGCGUGUAGGCGGUCCGGUAAGUCCGCUGUGAAAGUCGGGGGGCUCAACCCUCGAAUGCCGGUGGAUACUGUCGGGCUAGAGUACGGAAGAGGCGAGUGGGAAUUCCUGGUGGUAGCGGUGAAAAUGCGUAGAUAUCGAGAGGAACACCUGCGGCGAAGGCGGGUUGCUGGGCUGAUGACUGACGCUGAGCGCGAAAGCCAGGGGAGCGGAACGGG